UACGUAGGGUGCGAGCGUUGUCCGGAAUUAUUGGGCGUAAAGGGCUCGUAGGCGGUCUGUCGCGUCGGGGGUGAAAACUCAGGGCUUAACCCUGAGCCUGCUUCCGAUACGGGCAGACUAGAGGUAUGGAGGGGAGAACGGAAUUCCUGGUGUAGCGGUGAAAUGCGCAGAUAUCAGGAGGAACACCGGUGGCGAAGGCGGUUCUCUGGGCAUUACCUGACGCUGAGGAGCGAAAGUGUGGGGAGCGAACAGG
This 253-nucleotide ribosomal RNA is filed under the name uncultured bacterium. RNAcentral describes it as "partial 16S ribosomal RNA". It matches the Rfam family "Bacterial small subunit ribosomal RNA", at positions 524 to 776 of the family's 1533-position model. The record is from RNAcentral.